ACGUAGGGUGCAAGCGUUGUCCGGAAUUAUUGGGCGUAAAGAGCUCGUAGGCGGUUUGUUGCGUCGGCUGUGAAAUCCCGAGGCUCAACCUCGGGUCUGCAGUCGAUACGAGCAAACUAGAGUGUUGCAGGGGAGACUGGAAUUCCUGGUGUAGCGGUGAAAUGCGCAGAUAUCAGGAGGAACAUCAGUGGCGAAGGCGGCUUUCUGGCCCAACACUGACGCUGAGGUGCGAAAGCGUGGGGAGCAAACAGGA
RNAcentral lists this ribosomal RNA (253 nucleotides) under uncultured prokaryote. Its description in RNAcentral is "partial 16S ribosomal RNA". It matches the Rfam family "Bacterial small subunit ribosomal RNA", at positions 525 to 777 of the family's 1533-position model. The record is from RNAcentral.